RNAcentral lists this long non-coding RNA (16236 nucleotides) under Triticum aestivum (bread wheat). RNAcentral's name for it is "long non-coding RNA (TAES_LNC004446)". The record is from RNAcentral. Lineage: Eukaryota; Viridiplantae; Streptophyta; Magnoliopsida; Poales; Poaceae.
CCUCGCCUUGCUGCUGCUUCUCUCCUCACGCCCCCUACUGCUGCUCCCUUCCCUACCUUGCUGUUGUUGCUCUCUUUCUACCUCUCUAUCUUCUCUGAAUUUUCUGUAAUAGGAGAUGUGUAAUGCUUUGUAAUAUUCAGAUUUUAAGAGUGCUGCCAACCUGUAUCUUGUUCUGUUUGGUAGUUGUAAUAUAUAAUGCUUGACUUAUAUAAUGCUCUGUGAUUGAGUAAUCUGCUAGUAUAAUUGUGUGUUCACCUUGUUUACUAGUCCCUGUGCUAGUUAACUUUGCACGUGUUUGAUUUUCAGUCCUUGUGUUAGCUCCAACACGUGUGAUAUAUAUAUACAUGUGUGUGUGCGUGUGAUGUGAUAUGUUCAUGUUCUAUCCUAAAACCUUGUUUCUUCCUCCAUGUUAUAUAUAUGAUCAUGCCCUUUUUUUUAAUUCCCUAGCCGUUUGAAGAUUGCUUGUGUUAGCAUUUUAUAUUUCUCAUGUAAAACGAAAAUACCAAAAAUAUAAUUGAAGAUAAUCUGAACCUCCUUUGCCCUUUUUGCAUUUUCUUUGGUGAUGAUCUUUGGGUACAACCUUGUUUUGUGUAGGUUUAUUUUCUUGCAUUCAUAAUCUGAAUUGUGUUACCUAGCUUUAGCCAAGCACGAUUAUCGAUUUGCCUAGUCCCUGAGGAGAACACGACACUCGUAGUUUGGGGCGUAAAAACCCCGCUAUACUUUCAAUUGAUCAUUUUGGCGCCGUUGCCGGGGACUAGCGUCGUGUGACUGUGUUAGGCUAUAGACUAGGUUUUUCUUCUUUUUCUAGUUUGUGCCAUAUAUUUGUGAUAUAUCUCUAACCACUAACCCCUGUUCUAGUUAGUAUCUUUUUUUGUUUUCUUUUCCUUUUUGCAGGUUAGAACUAUCUUCUCGGUUAUGGCUUACUAUUCAGAUCAUCAGGCUUAUGCGAGCAACACUACAAACAGCAUGGAAAGUAUUCAAGAACUGAUAAGUAAGAUUUCCCAUCAAUUAGAUGAUUUAGCUCAGCAGCGAGGAGUAGUUUUUGAGGAUAGGCCUAGUUCUUAUUAUCCUUAUUCCGGAGGCAAUCCUUAUGUUGCUCCUACAUGCCAUAUUUGUGGAUUUCAGGGCCAUUUGCCCGCUGAAUGUCAGCGUGGUUACUCUCACACUCCAGAUUGUUUUGGCAUGAGCUUCGCUCAAGAGCAUAGCUCAUACCAAAACAAUUACUCACAUGGGUGGCCUGAAAACCCGAAUAUGUCAUAUAGGAGCAACAACCCUGAGAUCUCACUGUUUGCCUCUAGUUAUCCAAUGCAGGGAUUUAGGUAUGAAGAGGAGAGCCACAACUAUGCUCCACAACAGUCGUAUUUAGCUCCUAUUCAUAUACCUCAGCACCAGGAGAUGUUGCCAAUGGAGUUAAAUGGUCCUCCAUUUGGUCAACCAACACCUCAAGUGCCUACUCAAGAUGAGUUCGAUGACAUAGACAAGCUCGCACUUUUGAGUCUCGGGUUCACUUGGAGUGCCGAGGAUGAUCCUAUUAGGAAGGUUAUACUAGAUGAAAUGAAGAAGAUCAAGAGUGGGAAUGAGCUAGUGGAAGAAGUAAAGAAGAUUGAGAAGAACAUCAACGCUGGCAGUACUAUUUCUUCACAGCUUGAGCUGAGUAAUUCUGGGAUUCCCCUUGAUACAUGUGAGGUUCCAAUACCGUCACAUCCAGCUGAGCAAGAUAGCAAGUGCCUUGAGCAUGAGAUACCCCAGAUUGAAGAAGAUGAACUAGAAGACAAGGAACAAGAUGAUCAAGAUCUGCAAUUCCCAAGUGAUCAAGUUGAAGACUCGUCAUCUACUACUCCUGAAGAAGUACAAGAAGCUGCUGUAGAUGAAGAUGAAGAACCUGAGAUUCAUUGGCCUAUUGUCAUACAUGAGUGUGAUGUGUCAGGUUUACCCAAUCCUCUUGAUGACAUGCUCCCUUGUGAUUUCUUUGCUUCUAACUUGCAUUGCAUGAUGCCAUCACUUAAGGUAGAUUUGAAAAACUAUUUGCUUGGACAUGAUCAUACACACCCUGUUAGUGUCAUUACUCUCAUUUGUGAUGAUCACAGUUACUUUCCUCGUGCUAGUUCUAUGCUUAAUGAAACAUAUCAUUCCCAUGAUAGUCUGGAGCUUAAUGAUACAUAUCAUCCUCAUGUUAGCAUUGAGCUUACUGAUUUCUACCAUCCUAAACAUGUGCUUUAUAGCUAUGCUUAUGUAAUUGGAUAUUCGAUUGAUGACUUGGAGGGUAUUAUCCCUACCACUUGCAUUGUCUCUUUCAUUGAGUGCUCUUUCAGGUUCUUGCUUGUGCACGAUCCACUACAUGCUUGCCAAGUUCGAGAUGACAUUCCCUGGGACCCUGGUGGACCUAUGGCAUGGGGAUGAGGAGAAGCAAGGAGCACACAUGAAGAGAGAAGCUGGAGCAGGCAUGAGGAUAGAGAAGCAAAAAGAGAAGAGUUGCAGUUCAGAGAGUGAUUGUGCGAGACCUACAUCAUAUAAGCCCGGUGAGCUGUUUCAUGACCCAUUCUGAGUAUAUCAUCCAUUGAUACAUGCUGAAAUCAAAUGUUAUUUGGGUUGCUUAAGCCAUGUCUUAAAUGUUGCCCCACUGAAUUUUAUUUGACAUAUGGUGCUUGAUGAGAAUAUGCAAACUGAUUGUUGAAUGCCGUGUAAACUAGUGAUCUACAUAUUGCUUGCUUUGCUGAAAUUAGUGAAAGUUAUUAGUUUUGAGUGCUCAAAUCCCUAGUACACUAGAAAACUUAAUCAUUUUCUGCUUUUACCUCGAUACACCUAGAUCAUUAAGUGUCAGAUGCUGAGUUUGUGCCUAAUGUGUUCCCAUUGAGAGCAAUCACCUAACCACUAUGGAUUAGCAUGCGAUGUUCCCUGGAUCGGUAGCAUGUGAACCAGACAUGGAGAAGUGAUGAUUCCUAUUUUUGUGCUUAUGCGUUGUUCAUUUAAGAUAAGUAAUAAUGAAUAAAUAAGUCUGACUACCUACAGUAGCAUGUCAUGUUCCCGGGAUCGGUGGCAUGUGAAAUCGGGUGCUUGGGGAGUAAUUAAUAAUAAAAAAUGUAAUUGUCGAACCAGGUGUAUACCAUGUUCUCGGGAUCGGUGGUAUGUUCCUUUGGGGAGACAAACAAAAAAAACUAAUAAUUGGUCGAUCCAGUUGUAUACCAUGUUCUCGGGAUCGGUGGUAUGUUCCUUUGGUGAGAUCGAUAAUACGUUAUCAUUGCCUUACUUCUGUAAAUAAGUGAUUUGAUCACAAGUUUAUGUUCUUUUUUGUGCUCGGGAUCAUGCUCUCUUUAGUAACCUUUGGCACAAUCAUCACUUGAACUUGUUGAUCCACUUUUAUCAUUGUAAAAGUUUAAAAUGAUUGAGUCUACUAGUCUCCUAUUGCUUUGUAGCACUCUUGACCAUUGAUUUGCACUAGCUAAGUCCAAAGCAUGCAUUGUUUAGAGAUCUACUUCACUUGGCAUUCUCUAGUCAGCUCACUAUUCACUAUCUUGCUCUUUUCAUAUGCCUUUACUUGAGGACAAGUAAAGAUUUAAGUGUGGGGGAACUUGAUAAGUGCAUUUCAUAUAUAUUAUUGGCACUCAAAUUUAGCAUCUAUCGUGAUAUAUCCAUCCAUUCUUGCUAUGAAUUGUGAUAUAUUUGAAUGAAAAUCAUAUAAAAGAUCAUUUACUCGUUACUUGUUUCUUUUGCAGAAAAGUGCGAUGAGGCACUAUAAUCGUCAAGAGUCCAUCCAUGUGGCUAUUGAGAAGAGAGAAGGGCAGGAAAGAAGUGAAGAAAGGGACAUGAGCAUCAAGGAAAGAAGAAACCGGGGGCCAAAACUUAAGAUGGAGGGGAUCUACUUGGGAAGAAAGAAGGAAAGGAGAAGGGCCAAAUCAGAAAAGUGGCAGACUAGAGGAGGGGUCAAAUCCUAGCAGCAGCCCCGAUCCCCUUUGGGCCUGGCUACUCAACUCUCUCCCUCACACCCCCUUCUCCACCUCCGGCCGCCGCCGCGGCCAGGUCGGCGUGGCGGCGCGCCACCAGCACCUCCCACCACAUCACCACCUUGGGCCAUCCACCAGCGUGUCACAUCCCUAGCUUCUGGUAAUGCACUAGGCUAGACCUCUUGUGAGCAUCAUGUUUUAUUUCAAAUGAAAUUUGAAUUGAGGAUUUUUCAAAGCCUCAGAAACCUCAAAAAAAAUAACCAACAAUUAAAUCUUCUCAAAUGUGUCCAAGAAAAUGUUCCUGUUAUUCCAUGGAAAUAUUGGUGAGAGGUAAAAUUUAAACCAAUAUUUUUGGAGUCACAGAGAUAAUUAUUUUGGUCAUUUGUUUUAAUCCAAUAACUAUUUGCUUUGGAUUUAUAUUUAAUAUAUAUUAAAUAUGACUCCAAUAAUUCUGGAAGUUUGUGAGUGGCUUUGUAUAUAUUUUAGCAAGCCACAUAAAAAUCUACAGAAUUUAUUUAAAUGAUUUAGUUGCUAAACUAAAUCAAAACAAAUUACAGAAAAUAGAAAACACUAAAUAAAAAUAAAAGAACAGAAGCCUACCUGGCGCUUACCUGUCCAGCCCAGCCGGCCCAGCUCCUCCCGCUGGCCCAGCCCACCACCGCCUCCCUCCCCUGUCGCCUUCCUCCUCUGCCAGGAGGACGGGCACGCGCCCGGCGCGCGCGGCCACGUGCCCCGGCCACCUCCUCCCUGCCUGGCUGCCUCCUCCUCCCCUGGUCCCUCCCGCGACGCCACGCAGCCCCCGACCCCUCCUCUCACUUCCCCUCUCCCUCUGGAUCGCUCCCCCUCCCCUGUCUCUCUCUUUCCCUCUCUUCCUGUGAUCCCCGAGCGCACCGCAGCACGCUGCCAAGCACCACCGCGGCCACCGCUUUCCCCUCGCCUCUCCGACGCGCCCCCGAGCUCUGCCGUGACGUUCCCGUCCCUACCACGGAGCCACAAGACGCCGGACGCCCUGGAGCGCCGUCACUGACGCCAUCUUCUUCCUCUGCACCGACGGCCGUCGUCGCUUGAUUCGCCGGCCACAGAGCGUCCCCGGCCUCGCCCUCGCGCUCGUUGGACUCGCGGUGAGCCACUGAACCGUUCCCCUCUUCUUCCCAUGCCGUUGGGCCGCUCUAGCCAUUGCUUCCGCCGGACCCGAGAGCUCGCCGCCGCCGUGCCUCGUCACCACCGUGGCUAGAGCCGUUGCAGCUCGAAGCCGAGCACACCACCGCACUCAACACGUCUCCAGGAGCCCGUAGCCGCCACUAGCUUCCCCUCCCGUGCCCCCGAACGCCAACCCCGACCUCGCCCGAGCUCCGGCUGCCGCCUCGCUCGCUGCCGUUGCUGAUUCCGGCCACCCCCGCACCUUCCGUUGGUCCCCCUAGAUGCGCACGGGCGCGGGCUACCUCCUGGUGCCCUUGGCGCAUCGAUCCGAUGCCCCUAGCGCAAGUCCGGCGUGCCCCGCCGUGUCCUGUGGUCGCCGCCGGCUGGUCUCCGGUGACGCCGACGUGGCGCACUUACUUAGUCGCUAAUGACCAUGCUAAACACCCCCACAGACACUGACAGCGGGCCCCGUAGCGGGUCAAAGCCCGAGUCAACGCGGGAUUAGCCCCUGUGUCACUGACGUGUGGACCCCACACGUCAGGUUUGACCUUGACCGGCCCGGUUGACCCUGCUGACGUCACUGUGACGUGGUGCUGACGCCAUAAUCAUUUCUGGAUUUAAUUUAAUUCUGAAAUUCCAGAAAAUGCCUAAAACUUCAAUAAAUCAUAGAAAAUUAACCGUAGCUCCAAAUUAAAUAAUUUAUAUAUGAAAAAUUAUCAGAAAAAUUCAAGGAAUCCAUCUGUACCAUUUUCAUGCAUGUUAGAACAACUUAUCACUACUGUUUUGGACAAAUGAAGUGAAUGACAUUUAAAUAACCACAUAUGGAGUUUGAAUUUGAAUCUUGGAUUCAAACCAACUUCAUUUAAUCUGGUUUUAGGUGCAUUAGCCCAAAACACAUUCAUUUUGCCAUGUCAUGAUCAUGCAUCAUAUUGUGCAUUGCAUUGAUUGUGUUCCCUUCUGUGUUGCCGGUAUUUGUCCCCUCUCGAUAGACGUGAUACCGAUGAUGUGAUCGUUGACACCGAUGAAGACUCAAUGUUAUCUUCAGAAGUGCCAGGCAAGCAAAACCCCCUUGUUCAUUCCGAUAAAAUCCCACUCUCUCGCUCCUGCUCUCUUUUACUGCAUUAGGACAACAACGACAUAUUUGAUACUUGCUGCGGUAGCUGAACCCCUUUAUCCUUUGCAUGACCUGUCAUUGCCACAGUAAAUAGAUGAAACCCACUAGCAUGAGUAGGAGUUGUUUGAGCCAUGAUGUGCCUACUCAAUCAUGUUUGUUCGUCAUGCCUGCUACUGCUUAGAGUUGAGUCAGGUCUGAUUCAUCGGGGAUGAAUCAGAGGCGUGUGAACAUGUCCUACUGUGUGUGAACUAAGUGUGUGAACACGAUUUGGUAAAGGUAGCGGUGAGAGGCCAUGUAGGAGUACAUGGUGGGUUGUCUCAUUGCAACCGUCCUCAGGAACUGAGUUCUGUGUUUGUGAUCGAUGAACAGCUACUACCACACAUUGGGAUCCUUAAUUGACUCUCUCGACUUAUUAAUCAACAUGAUCUCUGUCCAGGAGUUGCAACUAGUUUCUGGUGUUUGUAGGUAGUGUUAGUAGUCUACCAAGUGGCACCCGGUACAGGUGGGCUUGGGACAGACUAGGCACAGUGGCCCGGUGUACCAAGUGGCACCCGGUUGGUGGGCUUGGGAACCCUGCACACAUCGUUUGGGGCCGUAAGCGACACCCCGGCCGGAUCUCCUUGCGGAUGGAACCCGAAUAGGCGAUAAACCUGGACUAGAGACUUGUCCGGUUAGUCAGGUCGUGGCCGACUCCCUCUCCCGGCUUCCGCUUGAAGGUUGCCGAGGUACAUGACGUGUACAGGGCGGUAAGUGGCGGGAGCGUGUGUGAAGAAGUACACCCCUGCAGGGUUAUCAUUAUCUAUUCGAAUAGCCGGAUUCCUCGGAUAUGGAAACUUGGACCCCUUGCAUAGUUCAUAGACAAGUGAAAGUGGAUACUCUAAAAUACGCAAGAUAAGCGUGAGUGCUAUGGAUGGCGUUCUCGUAGGGAGACGGGAGCGGAUCCAUAGUGGUGUAUUGAUAUGGUGAAUAUGUGGACUCGUGUGCGCCACCUCAAAAGAGUUACUUGCAGUCGUAGUUCAGGAUAGCCAUCGAGUCAAAGCUGGCUUGCUGCAGUUAAACCCCUCCAUCCCCUUUGUUGAUAAUGAUGCAUAUGUAGUUAGUUCUGAUGUAAGUCUUGCUGGGUACAUUUGUACUCACGUUUGCCUAUUUUAUGUUUUUGCAGAGAGACUUCGGUCUCGCUAGUAGUUUCACGUGGACUUCGACGUUUAGCUUGUUACCUCAGCUACGAUCUUGUGCCCUCGGUAGGAUCUGAUAGAUAGUCAGGCUUCUCAGCCUUUUUCAUUUAUAGAUGUCUGUACUCAGACAUGAUAGCUUCCGCUUGUGCUUUGACUGGUAUGCUCUGAAUGUUGGGUCGUGAGACCCCUGUUUGUAAUAUCUCGCUCCUCGGAGCCUAUUGAAUAAAUUACUUGAGUCGUAGAGUCAUGUUGUGAUGUCGUGUUGUAGUUGCACAUAUCGAGCAUAUUGUGUGUAUGUUAUUGAAAUGCUUGGUAUGUGUGGGAUCUGACCAUCUAGUUGUUUAUCUUUAGUAGUCUCUCUUACGGGGAAAUGUCUCCUAGUGUUUCCACCGAGCCAUGGUAGCUUGCUACUGCUCCGGAACACUUAGGCUGGCCGGCAUGUGUCCUUCUUCGUUCCUGUGUCUGUCCCUUCGGGGAAAUGUCACGCGAUGAAUACCGGAGUCCUGUUAGCCCGCUACAGCCCAGUUCACCGGAGUCCUGCUAGCCAGUGCUACAGCCUGGUUUCACUCGCUGAUGACCGACACGUUCGAUGCUGGGUCAUGGAUGCCUGUCCCUGUAAGUCUGUGCCACUUUGGGUUUACGACUAGCCAUGUCAGCCCGGGCUCCUUAUCAUAUGGAUGCUAGCGACACUGUCAUAUACGUGUGCCAAAAGGCGCAAACGGUCCCGGGCUAAGGUAAGGCGACACCCGUGGGAGUACCGUGCGUGAGGCCGCAAAGUGAUAUGAGGUGUUACAUGCUAGAUCGAUGUGGCAUUGAGUCGGGGUCCUGACAGCGUUGGUAUCAGAGCUUGACUGCCUGUAGGAUUACCAAGCCAAACUGGUCGAAGUUGAGUCUAGAAAUUCUUUAGUUAUAUAAGGGAAUUGAUUGUGGGAUGGAACGUAAGGCUCUUUUUACUCCUUAUACCUCAUGCCCUUCUGAUCUGAGUCAUUUUAUCUUUACUACGGGGAUUAAGAACUAGGCCUUCUCUUCCUUCUAUCAGGAUCACGUAUCACUAGUCCAUAGACUUAUAAGAUUGUUCGAUUUAAGCUUGAGUCCAGUUCCUACUACUUCUGUAUGAUUAUUGUUGAUCUCGAGACCUUGAUAUUGUGCUUCUGAGUGGUUAUGCCACCAUUUUUGUGAAUGUCUCAAAUCUUUUCUGAGCAUUUACAGCCGUUAUGCUGUCCGAGUUAUUCCAGGUUUCUAAAUAGUCUGAUGCAUUUGCAAGAUCCUUUCCCUUUGGUUUCGAUGUUCCUUAAUGCCAGCCCAGCUUUUGAUUCUGUUCUACCCUGAAGUAUUACCGUCUUUAUGUCAGGAUUUUCAUGAGGAUUGCACCGGCUCUUGUGAAUUCUUGAUGUAGUGAUACUUCUCGCCAUCAUUAUCCAUCCCUCGGUUCCGUGUUAUCGCAACCGGAAUGCCGACAGGUGAAUCGUGAUGUGUGAAAUCAAUACUGCUAGCAACUCUGUUGCUUGGUAGUUAAAUGGACGAUAACCUCAUUCUUAGCGUGUUGAUUAUUGAAUCGUCACCCUAAGACUGAUUGUGCCACUUAGUCCUUGUUCGCGGUGCACUCCUCGAUCGAUGAGUUAGGAUUAUUUCAAAUCCUUGCUCUAUUGAUCAUAUCGUCUUGCCCUGAAAAGCAAGAUUGUUCUCGAGCUUAGUAACAUACCGGUGGUUCAUGAUUUUCUGAAUAUCUUCUCAGAAGUAUUACCAGGUUGUCACCUGACCGCUAUGUUGAGUUCGUGAUCAAGUUGGUUUAUUCCUGUAAACCACCCCUUCUCCAAGAAUUCGUGUUGGAUACCCUGAGCUAGUUGGAUAAGCUAAACAACAACUUGGAGAGUCGGAAGAUAAAAGCUUGUCCGACUUAGUUCAUGUUAAGGGAUAUCUUUUUGUGUGUGUGUGUGUGUUGAAGAAAGAUGAUAUCUUCAUCAAUUGGUCCUUGUGAACAAUUGUUGGAUCUAUUAUCUUACCCGAACCCUUGAUUGAGUAUGGGCUAUCGUCAAAUCAAAUCAGUACCAACGAUGCUCGUAAUGUUGUCUUGUUCGUGGUUGAUCCCUCGAGCAUACACCAUUACAUCCUUGGUCUGACCAAUGCUAUCACCGUGUUCACUUAACUAUGGAAUUCCUUUUAAAAGGAAACCUAGAUGAAUUGUUGUUGAGCCCAUUGACAACAUCCUUAUCUCCUCCAUGAUUUUGUUGAACAUUAAGCUAGUAUUGGAAACUUUUGAAAGCAUUUGUUCAUGCUAGCUCAUGAAGCAUAUGUUUGGAUGAAGGUAGUGACUUCCUUUAAUUCAUGUGCAUCUGAUGCAAGUUGCCGCCGUGGAUUCGAGAAAGUCAAUGUUGCUUUCUUUGGAAUCAUUCCAAAUCAGUCAUGCACACGUGCGAAGAAUGCUGUGGUUUGAAGACUUGCAACCUUCAAUCUAUAUGUGUCCCUGACACACCAAGCCACUGACUGAUUUGUUCAGGAAAAGGAGUUGAUGUGCUAAUCCUAGGUCAUGCACAAGACUUCAACAUCCUCGAUUAUGGUUCCCCACCUGAACUCGGUAGUGUUUUAUUGUAAGACUACUUUGUGGUCAUGCUUGUCUUGGACAACAUGUUCACAUGUUGUAGCAGAAUCGGCUCGUGUUUUUGGAGCUUACUAUCGUAGUUCAUUCCCCGAGAAUCUCGCAACGUCAUCUUGUCGAUUUGUGUUGCAAACUUCCGUUUUUCUUCCUAGACUCGAUGAGUCUGGAAUAUCCUAACACCUACCAGAUCGGAAUCUCAGGCAGAUAUGAUGGUUGGGGCAUUUCCCAAGAACUAUAAUAUUGGUCCCUCGAUAACCGGUAAAGUGGAUGUCGUGGCCAACACACCCAGCCGGAAGACCUGUUAUUAUAAUAUCUUGAUUGAGGAAGUUGGCCACCUCCCCAUAGGGAUUUCGUAGGAUUUACUCCCUAGUUGCCCCUAUGGAUUUUGAGAUCCCGAAGUCCGACCUUUACUUGAUGUUCUAGUUAGCAAACCAUAUCUAUGAUUGGGUUACACCAGCACAUCAAGGAGAACAUUAGAAGCGGAGUGCUAAAUGUCUCUCGGUCGAUCAUCCAGAUUUUAUUUCCUUGGCCCCGCCAAGGGUGAAAUCUGAGAAGGUGUUAUCUCCCUUUGCAUCUGCAUCCUCCAUCACCGUUCAUCAUGGUAGUAAGUUGUGUUACCGGACCCUUGACACGGAUGUUGGUAAAACCUUGAUGAAUAUGGAAAUGCUCAAGUUCUUGAGAGCACGCACAAGUGCUAGGUGUUAUCAUCGGCACUAACUGGGUUUGCUCUCAGUUCCCUCGGCAAUGCUAUGACCUAUUCAAACAGUGAAUUAACUCUCUAGUGUUGGGUUCUUUCCCAGUUACUAGAAUCAUUCCCAGCAUUUGCAUUUUGUUCCUAGCUUGCACCGCCAUUGUGCCAUUCUACCAUGGGUCUCUUCCAUUUCCGGUGAUAAGCAAAUUCAUCCAUUACGUUGUCUUCAACAAGGUAAUCCACAUCAUCCAAGUUUGAGUAUGCUAUUCUACCGACCCCCUCCAAACGAUCACUCGAGAAUUGACUUAGGCUGGUUUAAAGAGUUUCAAUGAUCUCUGAAUCAAAAGUAAUUCUUUUUGCCACUUAAGGGGAUAUCUCUACGAGUCACCUUCCCUAAGGUGUAUCGUUAUGGUAUCAUGGCAACUCAACUCCUCGCUACGUUGACAAUCGUUUACCACCUUCUUAAGCGUGAAAUUGUUGUCUACCUAGUGAACCUUCGUCAUCCGUCUCUUUCCACCCCUCUUGAUGUGUAUCUCGUGUUUCAACCGAGAGAUGGUUCUAUGUCUCAUUCCGUGAGUUAAUCCUGAGUUGUUCGAUCUUCUAGAAGAUCGACCCUUCUAGAGUGUCCUUCUUCUCUCCAUGUUAUGUUGGCAGGAUUUCUCAGAGCAAGACGACAAGACAAAGAUGGUGACUGAAUCAACGUUCAUUUGAAGUGCAACCUGGAUCGUGAAGAUUGUGCUAGUUUGCGAUUCCCCUUCAUCCUACCCUACGCUUGAAUCUCGAGACGAGAUUCUUGUUUAGUGGGGGUGAGUUGUCACAUCCCUAGCUUCUGGUAAUGCACUAGGCUAGACCUCUUGUGAGCAUCAUGUUUUAUUUCAAAUGAAAUUUGAAUUGAGGAUUUUUCAAAGCCUCAGAAACCUCAAAAAAAUAACCAACAAUUAAAUCUUCUCAAAUGUGUCCAAGAAAAUGUUCCUGUUAUUCCAUGGAAAUAUUGGUGAGAGGGAAAAUUUAAACCAAUAUUUUUGGAGUCACAGAGAUAAUUAUUUUGGUCAUUUGUUUUAAUCCAAUAACUAUUUGCUUUGGAUUUAUAUUUAAUAUAUAUUAAAUAUGACUCCAAUAAUUCUGGAAGUUUGUGAGUGGCUUUGUAUAUAUUUUAGCAAGCCACAUAAAAAUCUACAGAAUUUAUUUAAAUGAUUUAGUUGCUAAACUAAAUCAAAACAAAUUAUAGAAAAUAGAAAACAGUAAAUAAAAAUAAAAGAACAGAAGCCUACCUGGCGCUUACCUGUCCAGCCCAGCCGGCCCAGCUCCUCCCGCUGGCCCAGCCCACCACCGCCUCCCUCCCCUGUCGCCUUCCUCCUCUGCCAAGAGGACGGGCACGCGCCCGGCGCGCGCGGCCACACGCCCCGGCCACCUCCUCCCUGCCUGGCUGCCUCCUCCUCCCCUGGUCCCUCCCGCGAUGCCACGCAGCCCCCGACCCCUCCUCUCACUUCCCCUCUCCCUCUGGAUCGCUCCCCCUCCCCUGGCUCUCUCUUUCCCUCUCUUCUUGUGAUCCCCGAGCGCACCGCAGCACGCCGCCAAGCACCACCGCGGCCACCGCUUUCCCCUCGCCUCUCCGACGCGCCCCCGAGCUCCGCCGUGACGUUCCCGUCCCUACCACGGAGCCACAAGACGCCGGACGCCCUGGAGCACCGUCACCGACGCCAUCUUCUUCCUCUGCACCGACGGCCGUUGUCGCUUGAUUCGCCGGCCACAGAGCGUCCCCGGCCUCGCCCUCGCGCUCGUUGGACUCGCGGUGAGCCACUGAACCGUUCCCCUCUUCUUCCCAUGCCGUUGGGCCGCUCUAGCCAUUGCUUCCGCCGGACCCGAGAGCUCGCCGCCGCCGUGCCUCGUCACCACCGUGGCUGGAGCCGUUGCAGCUCGAAGCCGAGCACACCACCGCACUCAACACGUCUCCAGGAGCCCGUAGCCGCCACUAGCUUCCCCUCCCGUGCCCCCGAACGCCAACCCCGACCUCGCCCGAGCUCCGGCCGCCGCCUCGCUCGCCGCCGUUGCUGAUUCCGGCCACCCCCGCACCUUCCGUUGGUCCCCCUAGAUGCGCACGGGCGCGGGCUACCUCCUGGUGCCCUUGGCGCAUCGAUCCGAUGCCCCUAGUGCAAGUCCGGCGUGCCCCGCCGUGUCGUGUGGUCGCCGUCGGCUGGUCUCCCGUGACGCCGACGUGGCGCACUUACUUAGUCGCUAAUGACCAUGCUAAACACCCCCACAGACACUGACAGCGGGCCCCGUAGCGGGUCAAAGCCCGAGUCAACGCGGGAUUAGCCCCUGUGUCACUGACGUGUGGACCCCACACGUCAGGUUUGACCCUGACCGGCCCGGUUGACCCUGCUGACGUCACUGUGACGUGGUGCUGACGCCAUAAUCAUUUCUGGAUUUAAUUUAAUUCUGAAAUUCCAGAAAAUGCCUAAAACUUCAAUAAAUCAUAGAAAAUUAACCGUAGCUCCAAAUUAAAUAAUUUAUAUAUGAAAAAUUAUCAGAAAAAUUCAAGGAAUCCAUCUGUACCAUUUUCAUGCAUGUUAGAACAACUUAUCACUACUGUUUAGGACAAAUGAAGUGAAUGACAUUUAAAUAACCACAUAUGGAGUUUGAAUUUGAAUCUUGGAUUCAAACCAACUUCAUUUAAUCUGGUUUUAGGUGCAUUAGCCCAAAACACAUUCAUUUUGCCAUGUCAUGAUCAUGCAUCAUAUUGUGCAUUGCAUUGAUUGUGUUCCCUUCUGUGUUGCCGGUAUUUGUCCCCUCUCGAUAGACGUGAUACCGAUGAUGUGAUCGUUGACACCGAUGAAGACUCAAUGUUAUCUUCAGAAGUGCCAGGCAAGCAAAACGCCCUUGUUCAUUCCGAUAAAAUCCCACUCUCUCGCUCCUGCUCUCUUUUACUGCAUUAGGACAACAACAACAUAUUUGAUACUUGCUGCGGUAGCUGAACCCCUUUAUCCUUUGCAUGACCUGUCAUUGCCACAGUAAAUAGAUGAAACCCACUAGCAUGAGUAGGAGUUGUUUGAGCCCUGAUGUGCCUACUCAAUCAUGUUUGUUCGUCAUGCCUGCUACUGCUUAGAGUUGAGUCAGGUCUGAUUCAUCGGGGAUGAAUCAGAGGCGUGUGAACAUGUCCUACUGUGUGUGAACUAAGUGUGUGAACACGAUUUGGUAAAGGUAGCGGUGAGAGGCCAUGUAGGAGUACAUGGUGGGUUGUCUCAUUGCAACCGUCCUCAGGAACUGAGUUCUGUGUUUGUGAUCGAUGAACAGCUACUACCACACAUUGGGAUCCUUAAUUGACUCUCUCGACUUAUUAAUCAACAUGAUCUCUGUCCAGGAGUUGCAACUAGUUUCUGGUGUUUGUAGGUAGUGUUAGUAGUCUACCAAGUGGAACCCGGUACAGGUGGGCUUGGGACAGACUAGGCACAGUGGCCCGGUGUACCAAGUGGCACCCGGUUGGUGGGCUUGGGAACCCUGCACACAUCGUUUGGGGCCGUAAGCGACACCCCGGCCGGAUCUCCUUGCGGAUGGAACCCGAAUAGGCGAUAAACCUGGACUAGAGACUUGUUCGGUUAGUCAGGUCGUGGCCGACUCCCUCGCCCGGCUUCCGCUUGAAGGUUGCUGAGGUACAUGACGUGUACAGGGCGGUAAGUGGCGGGAGCGUGUGUGAAGAAGUACACCCCUGCAGGGUUAUCAUUAUCUAUUCGAAUAGCCGGAUUCCUCGGAUAUGGAAACUUGGACCCCUUGCAUAGUUCAUAGACAAGUGAAAGUGGAUACUCUAAAAUACGCAAGAUAAGCGUGAGUGCUAUGGAUGGCGUUCUCGUAGGGAGACGGGAGCGGAUCCAUAGUGGUGUAUUGAUAUGGUGAAUAUGUGGACUCAUGUGCGCCACCUCAAAAGAGUUACUUGCAGUCGUAGUUCAGGAUAGCCACCGAGUCAAAGCUGGCUUGCUGCAGUUAAACCCCUCCAUCCCCUUUGUUGAUAAUGAUGCAUAUGUAGUUAGUUCUGAUGUAAGUCUUGCUGGGUACAUUUGUACUCACGUUUGCCUAUUUUAUGUUUUUGUAGAGAGACUUCGGUCUCGCUAGUAGUUUCACGUGGACUUCGACGUUUAGCUUGUUACCUCAGCUACGAUCUUGUGCCCUCGGCAGGAUCUGAUAGAUAGUCAGGCUUCUCAGCCUUUUUCAUUUAUAGAUGUCUGUACUCAGACAUGAUAGCUUCCGCUUGUGCUUUGACUGGUAUGCUCUGAAUGUUGGGUCGUGAGACCCCUGUUUGUAAUAUCUCGCUCCUCGGAGCCUAUUGAAUAAAUUACUUGAGUCGUAGAGUCAUGUUGUGAUGUCGUGUUGUAGUUGCACAUAUCGAGAAUAUUGUGUGUAUGUUAUUGAAAUGCUUGGUAUGUGUGGGAUCUGACCAUCUAGUUGUUUAUCUUUAGUAGUCUCUCUUACGGGGAAAUGUCUCCUAGUGUUUCCACCGAGCCAUGGUAGCUUGCUACUGCUCCGGAACACUUAGGCUGGCCGGCAUGUGUCCUUCUUCGUUCCUGUGUCUGUCCCUUCGGGGAAAUGUCACGCGAUGAAUACCGGAGUCCUGUUAGCCCGCUACAGCCCGGUUCACCGGAGUCCUGCUAGCCCAGUGCUACAGCCUGGUUUCACUCGCUGAUGACCGACACGUUCGAUGCUGGGUCAUGGAUGCCUGUCCCUGUAAGUCUGUGCCACUUUGGGUUUACGACUAGCCAUGUCAGCCCGGGCUCCUUAUCAUAUGGAUGCUAGCGACACUGUCAUAUACGUGUGCCAAAAGGCGCAAACGGUCCCGGGCUAAGGUAAGGCAACACCCGUGGGAGUACCGUGCGUGAGGCCGCAAAGUGAUAUGAGGUGUUACAUGCUAGAUCGAUGUGGCAUUGAGUCAGGGUCCUGACACAGCGCCACCAUCUUCUUCUCCUUCCCCGAAUCCACCAUCAUCCAUCCACAUCACGGCCACCAGCACCACAACGCUUCCCCGCACCUCGCGCCCCUACUACUCUUCUUCUUCUCCUACGCCUUGCUACUGCUCCUUCUUCCCUCGCCUUGCUGCUGCUCCUCCACUUCUCAACUCGAACUAGCUGCUCCUCUUCCCUGCUGUUCUUCUUCCCUCGCCUUGCUGCCGCUUCUCUCCUCACGCCCCCUACUGCUGCUCCCUUCCCUACCUUGCUGCUGAUGCUCUCUUUCUCCCUCUCUAUCUUCUCUGAAUUUUCUGUAAUAGGAGAUGUGUAAUGCUUUGUAAUAUUCAGAUUUUAAGAGUGCUGGCAACCUGUAGCUUGUUCUAUUUGGUAGUUGUAAUAUAUAAUGCUUGACUUGUAUUUCUGAAGGCUGUGAGAAUUAAUUGUCCUAGAAAUCUUGCUCUGUGAUUGAGUAAUCUGCUAGUAUAAUUGUGUGUUCACCUUGUUUACUAGUCCCUGUGCUAGUUAACUUUGCACGUGUUUGAUUUUCAGUCCUUGUGUUAGCUCCAACACGUGUGAUAUAUAUAUACAUGUGUGUGUGCCUGUGAUGUGAUAUGUUCAUGUUCUGUCCUAAAACCUUGUUUCUUC